This 518-nucleotide non-coding RNA is filed under the name Onchocerca ochengi. Lineage: Eukaryota; Metazoa; Nematoda; Chromadorea; Rhabditida; Onchocercidae. The record is from RNAcentral.
UGGCUAUGCGUUUUAAUUUUUGACUCUAUUUGUUGUGGUACUAUGAGUUUUUAGUUUGUUUUUAUGAUGUUUUUUGUAAAAUAUUUUGAUUUUUUUUUAGUUUCUUGUGGUAUCAAAAAUUUGUUUUUUGAACUGGAUUAGUACCCAGGUAAUCAAAAUUUAAUAAUUCGGGAGUAAAGUUUUGUUUAAACCGAAAAAAUAUUGACUGACUUUAGAUUUUUCUUUGGAACAUGUGAUUUGCUGGAGAGCCCUCUUUUUUGGUGAAUUUUGUUGGCACAUGUAUGAUUGUUUAGUUUUUAUUUUAUUUUGUAAUGCUUUGUUGUUUUGGCAUUAAAAACAGAUAUAUAUUUGGCUUAUGAAUUUAUGUUUCAUGUGUUACUAUUAUGAAUUUUUUUUGGAUUAGUUUUUUAUUUUUUUUUGAAAUUGGAAAAGAAAGUAAUUUUUUUUUAAUGUUUUAAUGAAUUUAAUAAAUAAGGUGGUACAAACCAUCCGUCAAUGGCCUAAAGGGGCGUAAGUUG